RNAcentral lists this ribosomal RNA (460 nucleotides) under uncultured bacterium. Its description in RNAcentral is "partial 16S ribosomal RNA". It matches the Rfam family "Bacterial small subunit ribosomal RNA", at positions 338 to 795 of the family's 1533-position model. The record is from RNAcentral.
CCUACGGGAGGCAGCAGUGAGGAAUAUUGGUCAAUGGACGAGAGUCUGAACCAGCCAAGUAGCGUGAAGGAUGACUGCCCUAUGGGUUGUAAACUUCUUUUAUAAAGGAAUAAAACGAGGCACGUGUGCCUUUUUGCAUGUACUUUAUGAAUAAGGAUCGGCUAACUCCGUGCCAGCCGCCGCGGUAAUAUGGAGGAUCCGAGCGUUAUCCGGAUUUAUUGGGUUUAAAGGGAACGUAGAUGGGUUGUUAAGUCAGUUGUGAAAGUUUGCGGCUCAACCGUAAAAUUGCAAUUGAUACUGGCAGUCUUGAGUACAGUUGAGGUAGGCGGAAUUCGUGGUGUAGCGGUGAAAUGCUUAGAUAUCACGAAGAACCCCGAUUGCGAAGGCAGCUUACUAAACUGUGACUGACAUUGAUGCUCGAAAGUGUGGGUAUCAAACAGGAUUAGAUACCCUAGUAGUC